This is a long non-coding RNA of Tympanuchus pallidicinctus (lesser prairie-chicken), 13734 nucleotides long. RefSeq lists it as uncharacterized. The transcript has 3 exons. The record is from RefSeq and is a predicted model, not a curated record. NCBI's taxonomy places the organism in Eukaryota, Metazoa, Chordata, Aves, Galliformes, Phasianidae.
GCUUAGGAGAUGAAGUUGCCUUUCAACGUGUAUGUCUUAAAGCACCAAAAGAGCUUAGGUGUCUGACUCAGCCUUCUGGAUCUGCAGCGCUAAUGGAAAGGACUUGAUCUAAAGCAUGCUGGAGUAGGUGAAAGAGGAGAGCAAUAGCUGCAGUGCCAUCCCGUGGUUUUCAAGAGGAUGCUGCCUCCACGAGAGCUGGCUUGGAUCACAUGGGGAAGCAUAGUAACUCAAAGCUGCUAGACAAACGUGGAGGAUAAAUAUGGAGAAUGGAGAACCUAAGGGCAAGUAUUUGAUUACUGGAAGCCUAUCAGAGCUUACAGGGGGCUGUUACCUCAGAACUUGAAGUCAAGAUGGACUGUGCUAUCUUUCUGAGACAUCUGAGCAAUAAUUUAGGAGUUUUUCCAGUUACCAUGGAUGGGUGAAGUACAGUUGCUGCUCUGAAAGUACUGCCUCCUAUUUUAUUACUUUGGCCCAUGAAGUCAGGGAUGGAUGUUGGUGAUGUGGCCGUAAAGGUUGAACUUUCCCACCAAUGUUCUGCUACAUUUUCUUGGUGUGUGACAGAUGGCAGCUUGUCCUGCACCUCAAAACUCUUCCAAGUCCAAACAGAAGCUGUUGCUUUCCUGUGACAUACAAGAAAACAAUAAUGUGCAGUGGAAACUUAAUGCCAACUGAUUUGCUGAACUUCAAUGGAAACCAUCACUUCUUCAUGGCAGUUAACUACUGGGAUUCAGAUGUGAAAUUCUGGCUGAGCACAAAGAGGUGAGUCAUGCAAGCCUACACAGAUAUCUUGUCGGAGGAAGGAAAACACAAUGUGGAAGGACAGAGAAAAGCUUUCUAACAAGAAGAGGAACUUUCUGGGGUGGUGGCAAGGUGUUGGGAGAAGGUGGCUCUUCCCCGGUGUGUUGCAGUGUGUUGGAGCUCCUUAAGUGGCCAUGGCAGGAGAAUAAACACAGUGAGGGACCCAAGUCUAUACACAAGCACCUACAACACACCUGUCUUACAAUGAGAGAACGUAAGUGAGCAAGGCUCAGUGUGAUGUGGCAAAAUGCUGGCAUCUGCCUUUUGGCAUGGGAGUUUCAUGUUUUUGGCAUGGGAGCCAUCAGUGUUUAAUAGAAACUGCUAUUGGAACUGCUUUUGGACUUAGGGCAUGUGAUGUUUGUUCUCAUUUAAUGUCUUAAAUGGUUUGUAUAAAAUGAAAGGGGUAACCGUGGAAGAAACUGCAAACUUCCUUUUUAAAAACUUGUUCCCAUUUUCCAACUGAGUGUAAAGAGAUUUGUGGCACAGUUUGAGGCCCAGCAUGUGUCCGGGAGGGAAGGCCAAGCUCUGAACAAUGGUUGUAUUUGCUGACAUCAGCUGAUUCAUAGCAGUUCACAAGAUUUAUGGAAGACCACCUUCAGACUGCAUGGUUCUGGCAAACAGAAUGAAUGAGUUAAUUUUCCUGGGACCGAGACCCCUAAAUUUUCUCUGCCACUUCCCUAGAGGCCUUGCACAAAUGUUUCAGGGCAGUUACCUGAUGGAGAGACACUCAUGGCUCCAAGCUGGGGCAGCUGAUUGCUACUUACGUGGUUUAAAUUGCUUGCACCUUUAGCAGAAGAGGACAGCCUGAUGGGGAUCUGGCAUCCCCAGCAACUCCAAAGGCACAGCUGUGAAAGAGAUGACAUCUCAACUCCUACAAGGCUGCUCUUCUUAUAUCACGGGGAUUUGGAUUUCUCUUCUGUUUCUAGUCAGCCUGAAAGGGUGAUUGGAAAUGGCAUGCUGUGGUGCUGCUGUUUGAGAGGGAUGGACCUAUGGCUACCCCUACAGAUACAUCCUGGCGGGGCAACUAAAGGGGCUGGGAACACACAGAUGAGAGCACCUUGAGUGCCUGUUUGUAAUGCUGUGAUUUGCGAUGCCUUGCAAUGCUUUCUGGAAGUGUUUAGAUAACAUAAUGGGCCCCGUAUGGCAUCUGAGGAGACAAGGUCUGACAUUCCUUAGACAGUGUUUUGAUGAGGAAAAUGUUUGUAUUUAAUUAAGGCUGCUCCACAGUAAUGGCUAUGAGGCUGUAGAAGGCUGAGCUGGGAUGAAAACAAUAUUGCCCAAGUCCAGUAAUGCAGAAAGAAAUUAUUAGUUUAACGGGGUGUGAAAUUAUCCAUUUUGUUUUCUUCAAAAUUAACUGUAGUUCACUGUAUAGCCUGCUAUGACUGACCAAACCACAUCAAAGGGUUGCCCAUGCAAGAGAACAGGAAAUAUUUCCCAACAAGAAUCUGAGGUGUAGCUCUACGAGGACAGUUGAUAGCAGAUUGGUGACAGUGCAGUGCUAUGUAAGAAGUCGAUUUUAGUUCUUAGGAAGGAAAGCUAGGUGGCUGAGUUUCUGACUGCUUAGGGUGCAGAGAAGUGGGAAUGGGGCAAUAUUUUGGCAAAUACUGACCAGACUUCUGUGUCUGCAUCCUUGUUCUGUCCCAUACAAACUGUUGAAAAUUUGUCCUAACACAAUUACUUCAGAGACAGAAGUCAGAAGAGACAGAGACUUUCUGCGUCAGGAAGUCUUAAAAUGUAGCUGACAAAAUGAAUUUUUGAAGGUCUGAUACUGAAUGAGUUAUAAAACAGUGAUCUGGCUCCUCCAACUCACCCAACCCAUUCAACAGUGAAAUCUCAGGCUCUCGCAGUCAGUUUGCAACUGAACACAAAGUCAACAUGUAUUCAGACAAAGCAUUCACAGCAUAAUUCCACACCCAGAUCAUACAUGGGAAAGUGAUAGGUAUACAGGAAACACAUGAAUUAAGUGGGAAAAGGGAGAAAAAAGCUUACUUUGGUGAACUGGCGACUUAACUUGGUUGUGCUUUGGAAUAUGCAUCCCCACAGGUUACACGUUUCCAUUGCCAGCCCUAGGAAUGCAGUACAGGAUGCAACCAGCUGAUAACAGUCUGUGCUGCAAAGCCCCCCUUCGAGCUCCAGUACAAAACAGGUCUCCCUGGGCUCUGUAAUUACUGUCUGCAUAUUAUUCAAUUGCCUAAAAGUGCCAUACCAUAGGUGAAAUGAGCAACAGCCAAGCAAGCAUACUUGGCUGUAGUUCUAGAAUAAGCUGCAGUGCAUGGUGGUUGCCAGACUAAGAAGAAAGGAAUUGCUUAAUGCAUGAAGAGUAUCUUUUCAGAGUGACAUCUAUGCACGUGUUUGCAAGAAAACUUUGUAUUUGCAGGUGCCUGAUAAUGAAAGGGAAAGUGUAUUGCAGUGGUUCAAUGGAGGCAGCGGUGUAUGUGUAUCCUUCCAGGAGGUGUGGAUGUAAGUAUGGAAAUAUCCUCCAGAAUAAUGGUUUGAAUCUGGGGAACUGAAACUCUUCAAGAGCUGGUGCCAAUGAGACAGUUUUCUUCAGGCUUUUUCUCCUCUGCUGGAGACUUCAUGUGAGAUCCCUCGUCCCAGGGUCCCAAAUAACUCAAAACAAGUGAAGGCACUGAAAGCACUACAGCAGGUAAAUGCAGACAAGUCAGAGGGCCAUCUGAAUAUCUUCUGAGCUAUUUUCAGAACACUGGUUUUUAGUUCAGCCUUAUCUGUUGUCCCAUUUUAAGCCCUCAUCAGUCUCUCCCGAGUCAGCUUCCUCUACCUCUGUGGUCCUAUCUGUGGUCUUAGUAGGGUUUCUUCAGUAGGAAUAUAUAAUGACAUGAGAAUGCAUUGCUUUACUAUUAUGUGGAAGAAAAACUGGUUGCUCAUCCAGUGUUAAUUUUCUAUGGCUAUGUGGAAAGUGGCCCUUAUCAGAAAAAGUGAAAUAGAGACACUGUUGAACAUGAUAAAAAGAGGGAGAGCCUUAUGAGUUAAAAUAUAAACAUAAACACUUGCAAAAGUGCAGAAAUUACAGCUGUUAAUGGCCAUGUAUAAAAUGAUUGAAGAACCUGUUGCACAACCAGCCCAUUGAGUACUGCAGUAAUUGUUCUCUAAUUGAAAUCAAUGACAAAAUCAUCACUGAUUUCCCAGGGACUGGACAUGAGCACAAACACUUUCUGUUUGCUGCAACUGAAUCUUAAGCACCUCUCACAAAGGAGGAGAUUGGAAUCCUGGGGAUGAUCUAUAUAUGUUUUUACACCGGAACAGUCGGAAUUGCACAGAGAAAUACUGAUUUUCACCUGCUGCUCUAUACAGAGACCUUAAUAGCCUGUGCUUCUUCCGUGCUUUAGUGGUCUCCUGACUGGGAGAUGUUUCUGUGAACAAUGUCUUUAUGCAGUAGUGGGAUGGCUGAGGGCUCUCAAGCAAUUUGAUCCCAUGCAAGCUAACCUGCCUAUAAGGAAAAGCUUAUGUCAAGCAAGCAAUCCGCAGAUUAGUUCUGCACUGCCUGCAAAGCUAAAUGUGCCCAACUGAUGGCUUAUUCAUAAGAUUUUGGAGGCUUGAGUGCUUUGUUUUAAAAAAAAUCUGACGUGGUCACAGCUUUCCUUCAGUUGUGCUUUGUUCAGAUUUUGUGUUUUUGAUGUCAGUGGGAGUUGUGGCCGCAGCAAUCCAGAGGCAAGGUGCUGACAAGCAUUCCCAGCACACUGUGAAAAUAAACUCCCUGUGGAUUGCUGAAGUCCUGCAGCAUCUGUCUUCUGGCCCUUUUUUCUCUCUCGGUGAGCUGACUAGACUUUUUAAACAGAAUGGAUUUCACCAAAGCAAAUUGAUAUUUUGUCCUGCAAUAUAAAGCUGAUUUAUGGUGGAUCACUUGAUUUAUUGCUUCCAGACAACAAACAAGUCAAAAUGUCAAUUCGUGUUUUCAUUCCUUCAAACCUGAACCACUGUGGACCCUUUGAGCUGCUGCUAAAACCACAGAGCAAAAGCCAUCCAGGUGCAAUCCACAGCCCCUCACUGUGAGAGCAGGGGCUCCCAGCACACCAAUACCACAUGCUUCUGGGGGUGCUCCUCUGUGGAGAGACUUCUUUGUUGUGUCCAAAGCUUCUGAAAUCAAAAGCUCUCCAAAAAGCCCUCUGCUAAGUGUCAGUGAUGGAUGCCCAUCCUCCCCAGUGUGUGCAGGGAUAGAACGUAGCACAGUGAUUGGGUUGGCUGGGACUUGUACAUACUGCACUGGUUCAAGGCCUGGAUUCGUGAGGCUGGAGGAACACUAAUGAGUUUCCAGCGUUUGAGAUGGGAUGGAUCAUUAGAUGGUCACUGAUAGGGGAUUCUUUUUAUUCUCUAGGAAGUAGAGCAGAAAAUUGGAUUUUUAUUUUUUUUUUCUUUUUGCCUGGCUUUGUCUAAAGAUAAGCCGUAAGUGUAGCAUUGAUCUUGGUCGUAUCAUUACCAUCUACCUCUAAAGUGCAAAGGCCCUUGAUGUGUUCUUCUAGAGGGUGGCUUAGCCUUGGAUUCAAUUUCAAAUGUGAGUCUAUCCCUAUCCUCUCAGUAAAGUUUCUCACUUUUCUGUACUUGCCUGGAAUCUGUAUGACCUGUGCAGCUCUUUGUUUAUGAGUAGUGACAUAACAAAAUUAGCACUGAUCUUUCUGCAGCAAAGGUAUUUCCUUGCCUUUCCCCCGAGGCCCAUGUGCUGCUCCUGAAUGCUGGUGCCACGUGCUUGACAUUGCAUAUUGAGCCUAAUGCAUCAGCAUGGCAAUUAGCUCCAAAAUUCACUUCAGAGAUCUUCAGAAAAUGAGAAUUUUGAUUUCAGGAGGAUGUGACUUCAACUAGAACAAGGCAACCAUAUACAGGAUCACCUUGGUGGCAGAUGUGCUGGUGUAUUAGUUAGUACUGUGAGGAGUCCUUAGCUUUAAAGUGAAUGGUGUGAGUUUGAUGAUGCUGGAAUAUUUUUCUUUGUGUUGAGACAGGAGCAAAAAGGCUUGCAAAUGCUCAGUCUUCCCCCCCAUCCUUUCCCCAGUUUGAAACUGGCAUGCACAGGCAGACUCUGUGUGCACAAGGAGAAGAUAUAGGGCUGUAUUUUAAACCAAGUAAUGCGGUGCUCAUUUGGUAGUGAGAUAAAGAUGGGCUGCAAUAUAUUUGGGUCAAAGUGUUGAUCAGUUGACUUUUCUUUGAGCAAUCUUUUAGUUUUUCUUUUGAACCUUCUAUUCUUAUCUGACUUCAAAAGCAGUUGAGGACCUUCACAAAAUUCCUUCACGCAAAAUUUUUGCUACUGAAAACAUAUAUCCACCUUGUUUAGCCAACUUAAAACUUUAACAUAAUGCCUAUUCUCUUUUAGUUAAUAUUUUGUUAUUUACAUUAAAAGUUGUUGGAUAGAUCUGUUAAUGCAGCUCUUAGCAAAUGUGUGCUGUUGUUUAAAUCUAGCUGAUGCUGGCAGGUACUGCCUGAGGUGGAAGUAAGAUACAUUUGGAGUCAUGCCUUUUUUUGGGGGGGGGCUGUUUCUUUUCUUUAAACUAUUGUUUCCAUGCAAAAGAAAGAAACUGCAGGAGGAGAAGGAUUGUUUUAUUUUGGAAACCUUCUGUCCAAUUGAGAGAAGAAGAGCUGGCUGUGGUUUCAGUGUGGCCAGAGAGUUACGUUCUUAUGCACUGGUUUAUUUAUGGGUAGGUCUUUCACUGUGACUGGAGAUUUCUGUAAGUGUAGGUAAAACACUGACAUCUAGUGCCUAAAACACUGCAUCCAAACAUACACUGAGACUCCAGUCCUGUUCCUUCUGUGAUGAACAGUGUUGGCUAUCCAGUAACAUUAUGGACUGGAUAUAGUUUUAAGGAUUGGCUCUAUAUAACCAAAAGAAAGCUAUUAUUUUGCACAACAAAAAGUAGCUAGAGGGUCGCAUGCAGUGCAAGGUGAACUUCUCUAGUGGAGGCUGCUCAUACAAAGGUCCCAGUGGGAGUGAUCAUACAGCAAGAAAAUCCAACCUACACGUUAUCUAUUGCUAUGCUGAAGACACAUUUUCUUUCAAUUUCCUUGUGUUAAAAUAUAGCCUGUCUAAAUACAGGCUAUAAAGAGUUUGCUUGAUGAGUCUGAGUGCUGUCCUCAGCGAGAUGCAGAGGAGCUGCAGGAUCAGGUUGUACAUCAAAUCUGCUGCUAAUCAAAGAGAAUCAAAUCAGCUAAUCAAAGAGAAUGGCUGCAAGUGGAAAAUUACCACUGAGAGAUGGAAAACCAUCCCCUGGUGCAGAGAGCAACCUCUGCCCUUCACCUAGCAUCAUAAUGAGCAUGGCACUGAGGAGAUGCACUCUUGGAUUUGAUAAAUAAAUCCAGACCGAACAAAGCAUUGCAUCAGCUCGAAACCUGGAACGGGUUGGAAUCAACUCCGCCUGGAAGUGCCUGGUGUCCACUAAGGUUGAAUGUGCUCUGUGUCUGCAGCCUUGCUCUUGCAUGUCUUGGCAUGGGUCUUGAAGCUGCUCUGGUCUCACUGAACAGCUCUCAGGGCUGUCCCAGCCAUGGCUGAAGAGCAAAGCCUCAUCUCUUUUCCCUUUCAAGUGAAACAAAGAGAACAAACAGUUUUGUGGUGCGUCUUACAUGUUAUUGACUUGGCUCAAGGAGCUGGAAAAUAAGUCCUUUUGGUGGUCCUUAGUGGAAGCCAGCAGGCCCUGGUUUGCCAGCUGUCUGUCCUCAGGGAGGUGGAUAUGUUAAUUGAUGUUUAUUAUUCCUAGGUGUAAAGAUUAGCACAUUCUCAAGUGUCUUGCUGGAUUGUCUGUAGUAGAUAAGCAGGGUUUAUGGUUAUGGUCUGAGAACAACUGACUGGAAGUGAAAUAUUUGCAUUGCAGUGGAACAAAACAGAAAUGAAACAGUAUUUCUUCCUCUUAGGGAUUUCCUAUAGGGCCAGAAGGUGCCACUGAGCUGCUCUGAAUUUCUGAGCCAUUCAGAGCAAGCUGUGUGUGCCAUGGCCCCGCAUGGCAGGACCCCAGGCUGAGGAGCAGCCAGUCUCCAUCAGCACUUCCUCACUGAGCUACACCAAGCUCCAUGUAAGAGGUAGCUGUCUCUUCUGCUCUGCUUUGCUCCUCUUGGAGAGCUGUUGUCUGAACAGGUGUUUCCAAUGGUCCUCUCAUCUGCUUCUAAGUUCAACGUGUACUUGGCCAUGUAUGCUUACUUGCCACUGUUGAUCUUCAGUUUCUAAAGGACGCAGAAGGAGAAGCUGAGCUAAAUAUCAGCUGGUAAACACAGCUCCUUAGAGAGAUUUGAUCUCUUCUGAGCCUUCUUAGCCCUGAACACCUUAAAAAGUUUUCUUCAAGUGCGGUUCUCCUUUCUGUCUCUCCCUAUUUGCUGAUGUGUCAAUCUGAGCUAGUUUGUGUAUUCAGGAACUUGGCAAUACCCUUUAGGAGGUCUCAUGGGGCCUUUCAGUUUGUCCCCAUCUCCAGCAGAAGGUUCUCCUCAUCUCUCCAGAGCUGCUUCUUCCUUUUCCAUAGCUCAAGCUCAAGCUGGCAGCUCAGAGGCAGCACAGGGGUUUUCCUCUUGCAGUUGUUGCCAGCUGAGGGGAUUCUGCUAGCAGCAGAGGGUUACUCCUUGCAAAAAUGUUACUCAGUACUUCACGCCUUUUCCAUUACAUGGCUCUUUUCCUUCUGCCUCUGCUAAUCCAAACCAAUGAUCCAGCAAAUCCUUCCAAAAGGUGUCUCCAGCAAUGGCAAGGACCAAAGCCUUUGGGAAGGAGCAGGACUCCUCCUCUCAGCAUCAUUGUCUAAGCUGUCCUUAAAAAAACAAACAAACAAAAAAACCCCACAACAACAACAAAACCACACACACAAACACACAAAUCACCUUAAACUACAUUUAUGGCCCUGGAUUUGAGAAUUUCUUUCACUACAUACAGAGAAGCCUGUGCGUAGUCUGCUGAAAGUUUUUCUUGCUGAGAAUCAUUAGAAUGCCAUUCUUUUAUGCUUCCCUUGUCUUUCUCUAGUUUCCUCUGCUUCCUUUCUUUCAACAAGAGUCCUGUUGAGACAACUUAAUAUAGAAGAGAGUUCACAGGAGUGGCCUCAGGUCCUGUCUGAAAGGUGGGUACAGGUUUGCCUGUCUCUAAAGGCCAGUUCCUCCUCCCCAUGCACUUCCCCCUGCAGUACCCACUUCGACCCAUCCAAAGCUCAGGCAACAUGAGCUAUUCAGCAGGGAAAAGAUGCAGAAGCUUUCCCAAGCAGGUGGCUGUGCUGCAGGAAGGUAUUCACUCGUGCAUUAUUUUUUUUGUGAAAAUCUGGUAUUUCCAGGUAUGAUGAAUGAAGCAAAACUCCUUUUGUGCCCCAAAAAAGGCUGGAUCUGGCUGGUCCAAGGAAUGCCACAGAUGUCUCCCGCUUUGCUCCUGCUGUUGAGCUGACAGAAGCAGAAUGACAAGGCUAUAAAACAGGCAAGGAGACAAAUUUAGGGAGUUAUUGUAAAGUGCAUAUAUACCCAUAGUUGGCUAUGUGUAGUUCUUCAGAGGAGGUGGGUUGGUCUUUCAAAUCAGCUAAGGAACCAGUGCAACUGCCUGGAAUAAUUACAGGGCGUUUGUCAUUGGUUCUGAUCUAAUCUUUUAAGUACACCCUAGAUUUCUCUUCCUAUGUCUGCAGUCACAUGUCGCUUGUAGUUUCUAGUCUAAAUAACUGCAUUUAUGGGAUUAGCUGACACACAAGCUGCCCAUCAGAUGAGAUUUGUUUUCUGGGAUCUGAGCUGAGGAAAAAGCCUUUCUUUUGGUUUGCCACGAACAGCCCAUUUUCUAUUCAUUUGCAAUUCUUUCUUGUUGUAUGAAUGAAAUAGUGAAUAUUUACUAGAUACUUUCCUUCUGGCCGCUAAAAUAUAAGAAUUACAGAAACCUUCUCUGCAAACCUGUCUUCUAGGAAACCUGAAAUCAUAUCUUGAGUUAUUAAAGUUUAAUAGCUAGUGUGUAUAUGGGGGGGAAGUAAUUACUUCCCAUAACAUCGUUCUCUUUCAAGAAUGUGGCCGUAACCCCUGAUGCAAAAUUAUUCCACUGGCAUUAUAAACCACAGUGUAAUGACUUAUAAUGUCACCUCUUACUACCACAGAGAAACCUUUAUGUUACGACUUAGAUUAUACACCAGAAAUGAAGAUGACUGUAAUGAAAGGAGAUAGCUGAUGUGUCAAGGUGGCAUUUGAGCUAAGGACUUCGUUGCGAUAUGUGUUGGAACAUGAUUUAAUUAGGCAUGCUGUUUGGUGGGGUUUUUUUUUGUCUUGGUUAAAAAGGAUCCAGAUUCAAUUGUCUUCAAUGGUGUUCUGCAUAUUUUCUGUCAGUAGAAAUGGAUGGUGUUGGUAAAUCUCAGAUUUGACUCUGUUUUCCAGCAUCUUAAGAUGCUGCAGCUUAAAAUGCUGUCAGGUAUGUCACUGAUAAAAUUGUUGUUGUUGAAUUGAUGGGGACCCCAGCAGGGCUCCUUCAGAUAGGAGGAGAGCAUGAAGUUGGGUUCUUCUUAUCACAGAAUCACAGAAUGGUUCGGGUUGGAAGGGAUCUUAAGGCCCACCCAGUUCCAACCCCCACCGGCUCAGGUUGUCCUGGUCCCAUCCAACCUGGCCUUGGGCACCUCCAGGGAUGGGGCACCCACAGCUUCUCUGGGCAGCAGUGCCAGGGCCUCACUGCCCUCUGAGUAAAGAAUUUCCUCCUAACAUCUAACCUAAAUCUCCCCUCCUUUUUAGUUUAAAGCCAUUCCUCAUCUCUACCAAUCAUUAGUUGAAAGUAUCCCUCCACUGUUUUCCCUUCACCCUCAUCCUCCUUCCCACCGAACAUCUACAGAAACCAGAGGCAGUGCACAGUGCUCCACCCCCUCACAUUCUCAUAGGGCUCCUUAGCAUCUGACGUACUUUGGAUCUGUGGCAAAUAAAAGAUAUUGCCCCAUUGUGGUAUAUGUUUUACAGUAGCUGAAACACUGACCUGUGUGCAUUAAGGCCUUUACACAGUCAUACAAAAAACUCACAUGGGGGAUAUGGAGGUUUUUGAGCGCUGUGGGGCCUGAUGUCUGAGCUUAUCUGGACAGAUUAAUUAGAAGCAAUCAGGAAGGCAGUCCAGGCCUUUUUCCCAUGAGAUCAUGCCCCAUCAGAAGCCAUAUUCCAGGAAGAAAUGUUGGGAGUAAAUAGUUUUUAUGAGUGUUUAUCAGCAUGAAGGUCAUCCCCUCCCAGAAACAAGCAACUUCUGUGACUUAGGGAAAACAGAGCUGAAGUCAGAGCAAGCCUGGAUGCUCAGCUGAAUCCUCAAAUGCCUUCCUUGGUUGAUCUGGGGGAAGUCAGAUCCUGGCAAACCCUUGGUCCUUAGUGGAAAACAGUCCUAGCUGUGGUGACUUGGCAGGAAAGUUACUGGGAGUGUUAGAGCCAAACUUUUUUUCUGUUUUGCUGGUAAUUACUGUGCUGUUAAGGCAUUCAUGCUGUUACUACAGUAUUUCAGCAUUAUCCUCUAGAACAGUCCUGUAGGCACGGGGAGGAUGGCAGAGAAGAGGCUUUCGUGAUAUGUUUUGCUCUUGAGAAAGUUGGUGUUUGUUCAAACAAAACACAAUGCAGGAGCUUGUCAGAUGUAAUCAGCUGCAGCAGAAGAAUGUCAAAUAUGCAAUCCUCAUUUCAUUUCUGUUCUUUCUGAUGUCAAAAUGCUUUACUCAACUUUUUUUUUUUUUUUUCAUUUAGAUUUGACUGUUCUUUUUUUUUUUAAUUUUAAUAUUAAGAAUAGGUUGUUCCUCUGAAGAAUUCAUAAGGCUGGGAAAUGAUGAUCGGUGUUAAAUUACACACUAUUAAAAAGAAAUUACAUGGUAUUUUUGAAUCAGACUAUUUUGUUGGCUCUUCUUCUCUCUCCCCCAGUCUUUGAUUUCUCUUUUAGUGCUGUAUUCCUGGUAUGAAGAGUUAAUUUCUGACUGGGUUGAGAUAACCGCACCCAUAUGGGAGCUGAAUUAUUCUAAGGGCAUCAAAAUGCAUCAACUCCAAGCUCUUCUGAACUGAAUUUGAAUUGCUUUUUUUUUUCUUAUUUUUUUUUUUCUCUUUUUAUAGCAGCAGUCGUAUUAUUAGAGCAAGGUUGUUUGCCUUGCCAGAAAAUUUCCUCGCUCCCAUCAGCAGAGGCAGCUUUCUGACACGCAGCGCUUUCACCGAUCGUAUUUCAAGUGACCCUUGUAAUUGGUGAGCAUCAACUGGCGGUGCAGUUCCAGCAUUAAACUUUAACUUCUCUCAUUUAGGGUCUUAAUUGUGCUUUGAAAUGUUUGAUGGCUUGGCUGACCUUUUUUCUGGGUUAGCCGAGGCUGAGAUUUGUCUGCCAGAACUGAAGCCGCAGAGGAAACCUCGAAGCAUGGCACCUCAUUGGUUUCAGUUUGAUAGCUUGCUCGCGUGUCUCUUCUUUUAGAAAUGUCCCCAAACUUCUUAGAAGUUUCAAAUGGAGUGAUAGGAAAAAUAUGGGAACACCAAGAACUUUACAAUCUAGGCAGCGAACAUAAGCUGAAGUUCUACUGAUAUGAAAAGCACGAGUUGCAUGCUGUAAUCCAUUUUUGUACUUAUAAAUUAUUUCUCAACUUUUCUUUCCCUGAAGGAAGUCUCCCAGCAGUACAGAGAUUUCUCUUGCUAGCAGACAAGUCCUACACUAAGUCCUAUACCAGAAUAUUUCCCUGUUUUGUACACCUAUGGUUUAACCUGAAAACAGCAAAAAUGAGUUUUUUGUUUGGUCUGAUCCAAUACCUCCUAAGCAGAGGGGACAAGAUUCAUACAAUGGAUACAGGUAUUGCAUGUGCAAUCUCUUUCCUUACCCUAUCUCCACACCCUGAUUGGUUUUCCUGCCAGCCUCACAGCUCUGUGGUGACACUUGUCCUGCCACUGCCUGCAGAGCUUAGUGCCACAUGCCUCGCUGGGGACGAAGCCCUCCUGGCUGUGAUGCAAGAUGGUGGAGACCUCAUCCAGCCCUGUUUGUGCAGAAGGAGAGGAGCAAAUCAAACACAGGAGGUAGGAAUUGGGGCCAGACAUCUACACUGUGUCUAAGGAGUGGCUUGUAACAAUGCCUUGAUGGGCAACAGAGCAAGGGGGUUUGUUUGAGGGGGCUGCUGGAGACAGAAUUCCCCUUCUUUCCCUUUAGAUCUGUUUUUCAUAUCUCCAUUCUUGAUGCUAGAAGGGGAUUUGGUACUAUAGGACUCCCUAGCCCUCCUAGAAUCCCUCCCAUUCUUGUGCAUUCAGAUGUCCUCCCACUUUAGCUGAUACCUUGCCAAAUAUUAGCCUCGGAGUUAUAUCUUACCUCAUAUUUAUAAAUCUGCAGAAGAAACACCAAGCUGAGUACAGCCAAGUACCAUCCUCCAAAGGGAGGACUAAACCCAGCCACUUGAUUAUACCUCCAAAAGAGGUUUUAUUGGAGAAAACAGGAGUGGGAGGGUAUGGUGGCCAGGGUGGGACUGCAGCUAUGCCUGGCCAACCUGGAGAGCAAAUGUUGUGAACCCCUCAGCUGUGAAUUCCUGGAGAUCUUCCAUCCCUGCCCUACAGAAAGGGAGGAAGAAAAAAAGACUGGCUUCACAUUAAAUGGAAAUACAGCUUUGAAAUUGAUCGGCAGUGCUCUGAAGGGUGCUGGCUCUCAGCUCACUGAUGAUGCUCUCCCUAGCACGAUCAAAUGGGGGCCAUUGCAGAGAAGGCAGUGACCACAUCUGGCUUCCAGGCUCAGAGCCUUACGUUCACCAUCAGCAGGUAAAACUUGACAUUCCACAUUUUCAAUAAGCCUUGCAAAUGAGGAGCAAAAUGCAAUAUUGCAGUGGGUGGCUUACAGUUAUGCUGGGUGCAUUAAAGUGCAGCUCUCCCUGUACAUCCCUUUCUCUGAUUCCAGUUCAGGAGUCCAGACUGUAGAACAGCAUUGGUUGUACAGUUAAUUUUGAAUAGCAUCUUGCACCUUGUGUUGGUGAAAGUGUUGGAGGUAUCGACGAGUGUUGUGUUGAAGAACUGCUUACAUGAAGAGGGCUGUUAAGAUCGUAGAAUCAUAGA